Molecule: ribosomal RNA, 341 nt
Filed under: uncultured bacterium
Lineage: Bacteria
Description: partial 16S ribosomal RNA
Rfam family: Bacterial small subunit ribosomal RNA
Source: RNAcentral
UGGGGAAUAUUGGACAAUGGGGGGCAGCCCUGAUCCAGCAAUGCCGCGUGUGUGAAGAAGGUCUUCGGAUUGUAAAGCACUUUCGACGGGGACGAUGAUGACGGUACCCGUAGAAGAAGCCCCGGCUAACUUCGUGCCAGCAGCCGCGGUAAUACGAAGGGGGCUAGCGUUGCUCGGAAUGACUGGGCGUAAAGGGCGUGUAGGCGGUUUACACAGUCAGAUGUGAAAAUCCCCGGGCUUAACCUGGGAGCUGCAUUUGAUACGUGUAGACUAGAGUGUGAGAGAGGGUUGUGGAAUUCCCAGUGUAGAGGUGAAAUUCGUAGAUAUUGGGAAGAAACACC